Molecule: small nucleolar RNA, 101 nt
Organism: Urocitellus parryii (Arctic ground squirrel)
Lineage: Eukaryota; Metazoa; Chordata; Mammalia; Rodentia; Sciuridae
Product: small nucleolar RNA U13
Source: RefSeq, a predicted model, not a curated record
AUCCUUCGGCUGUUCUUAUGUACAAUGCGUGUUUUCAUGCCACUGUGUGAGAUCUGCCUCCCCAAACCUUGUUGCAGUGUGAGCACAUUACCAGUCAGAUG